AUUUCGAGUUUGGAUCAACGAUGCUUUCCACGCCGACCAAUCGAUGCUUUCCGCUCCGAUAUCAAUCUAACUCUUACGGAUCAUGUUGCAGAGAUGAUCAUCAUCGGCUUUUCACGUCUUCAAUGUCUACUAAUUGGAUCAUCAUCGAAUUAGAGAGUUUUGGUUUUAUUUCACUCAAAGAAGAAAGAAUUAGAAGAAGCUGCGUGAGAGCGUUUUUUUUUUUUAAUCUAGAAAGCAAAAGUGUUAAUUAGGUCUAAUCCCAAUCGAUGGAUCCAUGUUGUAUAGAGAGAUUACAAUAAAGCCGUUGGAGUCGGUUAUAUUUCUUUAUUUUAAGACAAAAAGAUUCAAUAGAAAA
Molecule: small RNA, 355 nt
Filed under: Arabidopsis thaliana (thale cress)
Lineage: Eukaryota; Viridiplantae; Streptophyta; Magnoliopsida; Brassicales; Brassicaceae
Description: ATSL076090
Source: RNAcentral